RNAcentral lists this ribosomal RNA (497 nucleotides) under uncultured bacterium. RNAcentral's name for it is "partial 16S ribosomal RNA". It matches the Rfam family "Bacterial small subunit ribosomal RNA", at positions 28 to 507 of the family's 1533-position model. The record is from RNAcentral.
GACGAACGCUGGCGGCGUGCCUAAUACAUGCAAGUUGAGCGCUGAAGGUUGGUACUUGUACCGACUGGAUGAGCAGCGCACGGGUGAGUCACGCGUGUGGAAUCUGCCUUUGAGCGGGGGACAACCUUUGGACACGAAUGCUAAUACCGCAUAAACACUUUAUACACAAGUUUUAAGUUUGAAAGAUGCCAUUGCAUCACUCAAAGAUGAUCCCGCGUUGUAUUAGCUAGUUGGUGAGGUAAAGGCUCACCAAGGCGAUGCUACAUAGCCGACCUGAGAGGGAGAGCGGCCAGAUUGGGGAUGGGACACGGCCAAAACGGGUACGGGAGGCAGCAGUAGGGAAUACGCGGCAAUGGAGGAAAGUAUGAUCGAGAAAGGCCGCGUGAGUGAAGAAGGAUUGCGGAUCGUAAAACGAUGGUGGUAGAGAAGAAAGUUGGUGAGAGUGGAAAGCACAUGAAGUGAAGGGAAAUGCGCAGAAAGGGACGGCUAAAUAAGGG